UCAGCUUCAGCUAGCUAGAUAUACAUACUACUACGUGUUAACCAUUGCUGACGUUUUAUUUAUUUUUUAAUUUUUUAUUUAAAGUUUAAACCUUUCUUUCAUUUUUCUCUCUCUUUCUUUUGCGAAAAUGGAAAAUCUCCACAGUGAAGUUUCCGUGAACUGAAUCAGGUGCAUACUUUCUUCUCCACUCUCAAAAUCUCAAACUUUUUCUAAUGAUAUCAUUGAAGUUUGUGUCUUUUUGAGGUUUAGUUCGAUUUAUCUUUGGUUUUGGUUGUCAAAUGUUUUUUUUCUUGUCUGAAUGUGUCAGAGAGACCCUUUUGUUCUGAACACACUAUUGUUACCUAAUUGUUUGUCAGACUAGAUUUUAGCUCUUAAUAUCAUGUUUUACCUGCUUAAUCUGUGAAUUUCCAUGCUGAAUUCAACUUUUUUUUGCAUUAGAUUCAAGUAGGAACAACAAGUCUUCAUGUAAUGAUACUGAAGAAUCAAAGCCUGCCUGCACUGUGAGAUUUUAAUGUAUAGAGUUGUCUGUGUGUGGUUACCUAAUCAGGAUGGGAAGUUAAUCCAUUUCGAGGAGCGGUGCGAAGUUCUGCAAAGAUCUUGGUUCAUUUGUAUAUUGUAGCAGAUUUAUGUGUGGUUAGGAAUCAAAUAAGGAGAAGGUGCAGGUUGUUAGAAACCUUGUUAGUAUCAAUCUAUGCUGUAUUGCCAUCUAGUUUGGGAAUUUAGAUGGAUGUUACUUCUCUGAGUCCUAAUAGCAACGCCCAAACCGACCAGC
Molecule: long non-coding RNA, 772 nt
Filed under: Lotus japonicus
Lineage: Eukaryota; Viridiplantae; Streptophyta; Magnoliopsida; Fabales; Fabaceae
Description: long non-coding RNA (LJAP_LNC000434)
Source: RNAcentral